AGGGAACAGCCCAAAUUUGUAAUCUGGCCCUUUCAGGGUCCGAGUUGUAAUCUCGAGAACUGUUUUCCGUGCUGGACCAUGUACAAGUCUGUUGGAAUAUAGCUUCAUAGAGGGUGAGAAUCCCGUACAUGACAUGGACUACCAGUGCAAUGUGAUACAGUCUC
This 164-nucleotide ribosomal RNA is filed under the name Septobasidium meredithiae. Its description in RNAcentral is "partial large subunit ribosomal RNA". It matches the Rfam family "Eukaryotic large subunit ribosomal RNA", at positions 99 to 258 of the family's 3401-position model. The record is from RNAcentral. Lineage: Eukaryota; Fungi; Basidiomycota; Pucciniomycetes; Septobasidiales; Septobasidiaceae.